GCCUGUACAAAGUUAUGAAUAUGACAGUUGUGUUCCACUUGUGAGGUGUAAUUGAGAUUUCGGUUUUGCCAUGUUAUAACGGACUUUCCAUUUUGAAUUUCGAUAUGAUACGGAAUUACAAGAGAUGUAAUUUAUACAAAACGGUAACAUUUAACACUGACCAAUAAACCAUUGAAAUGAGACUAAAGACAGAUAAAACCUAAAAGUU
Molecule: long non-coding RNA, 208 nt
Filed under: Mytilus galloprovincialis (Mediterranean mussel)
Lineage: Eukaryota; Metazoa; Mollusca; Bivalvia; Mytilida; Mytilidae
Source: RNAcentral